This 91-nucleotide small nucleolar RNA is filed under the name Brassica napus (rape). RNAcentral describes it as "snoRNA Plant_U3". Lineage: Eukaryota; Viridiplantae; Streptophyta; Magnoliopsida; Brassicales; Brassicaceae. The record is from RNAcentral.
ACGACCUUACUUGAACAGGAUCUGUUCUAUAGGAAGUACUUCUGUGUCCUUGAUUUCUAAGGAGAAACAUGAUAUUGAAAUUAAAUAGUUA